GUGGGGAAUUUUGGACAAUGGGGGCAACCCUGAUCCAGCAAUGCCGCGUGCAGGAAGAAGGCCUUCGGGUUGUAAACUGCUUUUGUACGGAACGAAAAGGCUCUGGUUAAUACCUGGGGCACAUGACGGUACCGUAAGAAUAAGCACCGGCUAACUACGUGCCAGCAGCCGCGGUAAUACGUAGGGUGCGAGCGUUAAUCGGAAUUACUGGGCGUAAAGCGUGCGCAGGCGGUUUUGUAAGAUCGAUGUGAAAUCCCCGGGCUCAACCUGGGAACUGCAUUGGUGACUGCAAGGCUGGAGUGCGGCAGAGGGGGAUGGAAUUCCGCGUGUAGCAGUGAAAUGCGUAGAUAUGCGGAGGAACACCGAUGGCGAAGGCAAUCCCCUGGGCCUGCACUGACGCUCAUGCACGAAAGCGUGGGGAGCAAACAGGAUUAGAAACCCUUGUAGUCC
This 450-nucleotide ribosomal RNA is filed under the name uncultured bacterium. Its description in RNAcentral is "partial 16S ribosomal RNA". It matches the Rfam family "Bacterial small subunit ribosomal RNA", at positions 354 to 796 of the family's 1533-position model. The record is from RNAcentral.